RNAcentral lists this ribosomal RNA (253 nucleotides) under uncultured bacterium. Its description in RNAcentral is "partial 16S ribosomal RNA". It matches the Rfam family "Bacterial small subunit ribosomal RNA", at positions 524 to 776 of the family's 1533-position model. The record is from RNAcentral.
UACGUAGGGUGCAAGCGUUGUCCGGAUUUAUUGGGCGUAAAGAGCUCGUAGGCGGUCUGUCGCGUCGGAUGUGAAAGCCCAGGGCUCAACCCUGGGCCUGCAUUCGAUACGGGCAGACUAGAGUGUGGCAGGGGAGACUGGAAUUCCUGGUGUAGCGGUGAAAUGCGCAGAUAUCAGGAGGAACACCGGUGGCGAAGGCGGGUCUCUGGGCCAAUACUGACGCUGAGGAGCGAAAGCGUGGGGAGCGAACAGG